This is a long non-coding RNA of Hylaeus volcanicus, 454 nucleotides long. RefSeq lists it as uncharacterized. The record is from RefSeq and is a predicted model, not a curated record. Lineage: Eukaryota; Metazoa; Arthropoda; Insecta; Hymenoptera; Colletidae. The transcript is spliced from 6 exons.
AGAUGAAGCUCUGAGAAAGAAAAAGCUUCGACAAAAAAUAGCUACAAAAGGAGAAGUCAUGAAAGUGUUUCGAAGUCUACAACGCGACAUUAAGAGAGCAAUCAACAUAGCGAAAGAAAAACUAUUUCAAGAUAUAGAAGAUCCGGAAGCGGAAAAAAAAAGAGCGGAAGACCUAGAGACAGCAGUUCCGGGAGUAGUAAUGCACGAACAUGAAGAAAUAACGGCGAUUUAAAGUGUCCUAGUUUCCAACGAAUCACAAACUACCGACGCUGCAGUAAACAGAAAUUUUUGUCCGGAAGUAAAAAAUUUUUUUAUGGAUAUUUGUUAGAUCACUAAGUCCAAAAAAAACUAAAGAUUCAACACAUUAGUUUUAUCCGCAUAGAAACAUUUUAUACAAACUCAAUUAAAAAAAAAAGACUUUAUAAAUUCUCAAUGACAAAGAUUUAUUACAUUA